RNAcentral lists this long non-coding RNA (1180 nucleotides) under Selaginella moellendorffii. Its description in RNAcentral is "long non-coding RNA (SMOE_LNC000624)". Lineage: Eukaryota; Viridiplantae; Streptophyta; Lycopodiopsida; Selaginellales; Selaginellaceae. The record is from RNAcentral.
CUGAUUACAUCCUCCAAGUCCAAACGUGACACAAUUCUUCCGUGGGUUACAAGAGUCACAGCAGCAACUCCAGGUGGAUCCACAUUUUCCAGCGCUAUUUGGCACGCAGCAACAAAACUUCCGGCCAUACCGACCUUGGCAAUGCCUAUCAAAGUUUUUACAUCUUCCCAAUGUGGGUUGUGGCUGUGGUGAAGGUGGUGGUGGAGACGGAGGUGGUGGCGGUGAUGGUGUUGAUGGUGGUGGAGGAGAUGGACGUGGUGGUGGUGAUGGUGGCGGAGGAGAUGGAGGUGGUGGGGAUGGUGGUGGUGGUGGUGGCCGAGGAGAUGGAGGUGGUGGGGAUGGUAAUGGUGAUGGGGGUGGAAGAGCAGGAGAUGCUUCACAAUAGCCCAAGGGAUUGCACCCUUGAGUUGAUGAUAUGCAACAUGUGUCCUUAUUACAUGCACGGUCCACACAACAACAACUACUACCAGCUGGGCACCAUUGAUAGCCUUUGCAGGGUCUUGGGGGUGGUGGUGGCGGAAGAGAUGGAGGUGGUGGGGAUGGCAGUGGUGGUGGAAGAGAUGGAGGUGGUGGGGAUGGUGGUGGUGGAGAGGGUGGUGGUGGUGGUGGUGGAGAAGGAGGUGGUGAUGGUGUUGGACAGUCACAAGGAUCUUGGAAAUAGACGCCAAUUCCUCGGAAGUAUGUUGUUGAAGAGGCAUAACCAAAAAAUCCAACCACUGUCCCUUCUGGGGAAUCAAAUUUAGUCUGAUUGGAGUAGUCGUGGGUACCAAAUGGGCCAAAGGUAGUUUGGGCAUUGGUCCUUCUAUCGUUGACGUGCAAGUAAAGCCUACUCAAGCCAUUAGAAGUCCAUGGAUUUGGUCCAGUGCGCCCUGAAAUCUUGUAGAUGUAUUCAUCCGGAUAAGCUAAAACCACCUGAAAGAAAUCUUAGUAGAAGAUGAGCAUUACAAAUAGCUACCUCUUUGGCUUCCCCCCUUGAAGUGCCAUGAGGAUCAGACCAAACAUGUUCUCCCCCUUGAUCUGAUUGAACCUGUAUCCCAUCCACAAUAUACUCAGACCAGAUCUUGACUCUCACAAUACCCUGAGACUGCCCGUCACUGAAACUUUUCCCAUCGGUUCCACCAUACAAUGGGGAUCUUUUUCCGUUUGCACCAAAAACCUUCAUCAUAAUGAAACAAUUCAA